UGUGUAAGAGUUUUAGUGGAGUUGGGUUUCUGAGAAGGUUGUUUGUCAGUGGGUUGGUAGGGGGAAAUUUGAAAGAUUUGGGAGUUACUUUUUCUUAUUUUUAUUCUUUUUUUUUCAAAAUUUUUCCCUCUUUCCAGAAAAGAAAACUGACGUUAAUUUUGUGUUUUUUCUCUUUUGCUCUUUCGUUUUUCAAUUGUUUCUUUCCUCUAUUCUGUUUCUAUCGAUUGUUACAUAUCUAUAAUUUGUUUCUUCGUUUUCUUCGGUUGUUGGUAAGUGGAUCCAGUGCUCUGUAUUUUCGAUUUCCAAAUUGUCGAUUGAAAGUUUAUAUUUUCUAUUUUGGCAGUAGUGAAUCAUGUAGAGCGGGUCUC
Molecule: long non-coding RNA, 368 nt
Filed under: Gossypium raimondii (Peruvian cotton)
Lineage: Eukaryota; Viridiplantae; Streptophyta; Magnoliopsida; Malvales; Malvaceae
Description: long non-coding RNA (GRAI_LNC009260)
Source: RNAcentral